UACGUAGGGUGCGAGCGUUAAUCGGAAUUACUGGGCGUAAAGUGUGCGCAGGUGGCCGCGCAAGUCGAGUGUGAAAUCCCCGAGCUUAACUUGGGAAUUGCGCUCGAAACUACGUGGCUCGAGUGUGGCAGAGGAAGGUGGAAUUCCACGUGUAGCGGUGAAAUGCGUAGAGAUGUGGAGGAACACCGAUGGCGAAGGCAGGUCUCUGGGCCACUACUGACGCUGAGAAGCGAAAGCAUGGGGAGCGAACAGG
This 253-nucleotide ribosomal RNA is filed under the name uncultured bacterium. RNAcentral's name for it is "partial 16S ribosomal RNA". It matches the Rfam family "Bacterial small subunit ribosomal RNA", at positions 524 to 776 of the family's 1533-position model. The record is from RNAcentral.